GACGAACGCUGGCGGCGUGCUUAACACAUGCAAGUCGAACGGAAAGGCCCUGCUUUUGUGGGGUGCUCGAGUGGCGAACGGGUGAGUAACACGUGAGUAACCUGCCCUUGACUUUGGGAUAACUUCAGGAAACUGGGGCUAAUACCGGAUAGGAGCUCCUGCUGCAUGGUGGGGGUUGGAAAGUUUCGGCGGUUGGGGAUGGACUCGCGGCUUAUCAGCUUGUUGGUGGGGUAGUGGCUUACCAAGGCUUUGACGGGUAGCCGGCCUGAGAGGGUGACCGGCCAAAUGGGAAUUGGGAAAGGCCCCAGACCCCAACGGGGGCAGCAGUGGGGAAUAUUGCACAAUGGGCGGAAGCCUGAUGCAGCAACGCCGCGUGCGGGAUGACGGCCUUCGGGUUGUAAACCGCUUUCGCCUGUGACGAAGCGUGAGUGACGGUAAUGGGUAAAGAAGCACCGGCUAACUACGUG
RNAcentral lists this ribosomal RNA (467 nucleotides) under uncultured bacterium. Its description in RNAcentral is "partial 16S ribosomal RNA". It matches the Rfam family "Bacterial small subunit ribosomal RNA", at positions 28 to 507 of the family's 1533-position model. The record is from RNAcentral.